AUCCUGGCUUAGAUUGAACGCUGCGGCAGGCCUAACACAUGCAAGUCGAACGGUAACAGGAAGCAGCUUGCUGCUCGCUGACGAGUGGCGGACGGGUGAGUAAUGUCUGGGAAACUGCCUGAUGGAGGGGGAUAACUACUGGAAACGGUAGCUAAUACCGCAUAACGUCGCAAGACCAAAGAGGGGGACCUUCGGGCCUCUUGCCAUCAGAUGUGCCCAGAUGGGAUUAGCUAGUUGGUGGGGUAACGGCUCACCAAGGCGACGAUCCCUAGCUGGUCUGAGAGGAUGACCAGCCACACUGGAACUGAGACACGGUCCAGACUCCUACGGGAGGCAGCAGUGGGGAAUAUUGCACAAUGGGCGCAAGCCUGAUGCAGCCAUGCCCGCGUGUAUGAAGAAGGCCUUCGGGUUGUAAAGUACUUUCAGCGGGGAGGAAGGUGUUGUGGUUAAUAACCGCAACAAUUGACGUUACCCGCAGAAGAAGCACCGGCUAACUCCGUGCCAGCCGCGGC
Molecule: ribosomal RNA, 512 nt
Filed under: uncultured bacterium
Lineage: Bacteria
Description: bacterial SSU rRNA
Rfam family: Bacterial small subunit ribosomal RNA
Source: RNAcentral